UCCCCCACUUCAUACGACGUUCUCAUUUUCGCAGCAGUGCCUGAGCACUGAAAUGUUAAACGAAACGCCUUAAGGUGUCUGCAGCUGAAGCUAAGCGCCGCCUGAGCGCAGUAAGAUUUGGCAGGAAAGCGUCCACUUGAUAAGCGUCCUCGCGCGCCGUAGUAGAAUAGUAUGUUCUUUUUCAAUACAACGAUAGGAGUCAACUGAACAAGGGUCUGGAUCUGAGCUAGUUGCUACGGCUCUUUUCGCCGUCCGUGUCUAUGUGCGCUUAACCUACCGAGAGGAGUGAACGCUUUCAGCUGCUCAACGCUUAAGAAUGUCGAUGAAGAAAUAUUCCUGGAUAAAGGAUAACUGCGCGCCACGCAUGUCUUGAAGCAACAAUAACACCAUGCUGUUUUGGUAGCUUGGCCAAGACUGUGGCUUUCCAGAAGUGCGCGUGAGUGCUGUCAGGAAGAGGGAACGACGGGUCACGGAGGCUCAGACAUCAUGGCGGAGAGUGGUCCUGCACCGGACGGCGAACCAUCGAUGGAGGAAGGCGCAGCAGGGAGUGAUUGCGGGUUACCACAGCCGGACAACGUCCUGGACUACGCCCUGUUCGUGUCGCCAGUGUGUCCCGAACUCGGACCAGCAGAACUGCUCGCCGACGCCGUCAGGUGUACUGGAAGCUGCCGCGACGCGUAAUGGAGGCUGUGCCGCUAGUGGUGUCGCCCACUGACGGGCUGGCCGUGUGCCAGCAGCAGAUCAAGCUCAUCUUCAACAAGGUUCGCACGGACGCCAUGCUCGAGCGCGAGGCGACUACUUUCGUCAUGGGAACAAGCAGGACAACGGCGGCCGCCGAGGCAUUCCAACGGCACGGGGGAAGCCCGGAACUGCUCGCCAGAGUGCGCGAAACGGGACUAUUAAGAGGAGAGCUCGCUCAAGCCAAAAUCAAAGCCGCUCGGGAGCGGCUUGCAUUGGACUUUUUUGUUCUCACAGGAGUCGUGCGGGAGCAUGUGGUGUGUCUAAAAAGUGCGACUGGAGCAACUCAGAUCGAUCAGGUGUUGAAUGCCCGUGUGCUAAUAAACAUCGUCAGGCACCUUAUGGUGUCGGACGUGGUUAGGUGAAAGCCCUUCUUCGUUUUACCUGAAUGAGCAUGGACGUUGAG
RNAcentral lists this unclassified non-coding RNA (1144 nucleotides) under Dermacentor andersoni. RNAcentral describes it as "uncharacterized LOC126530605". Lineage: Eukaryota; Metazoa; Arthropoda; Arachnida; Ixodida; Ixodidae. The record is from RNAcentral.